GGGGAAUUUUGGACAAUGGGCGAAAGCCUGAUCCAGCCAUGCCGCGUGAGUGAAGAAGGCCUUCGGGUUGUAAAGCUCUUUUAGUCGGAAAGAAAGAGUUGCAAUGAAUAAUUGUGAUUUAUGACGGUACCGACAGAAAAAGCACCGGCUAACUACGUGCCAGCAGCCGCGGUAAUACGUAGGGUGCGAGCGUUAAUCGGAAUUACUGGGCGUAAAGGGUGCGCAGGCGGUCUUGCAAGUCAGAUGUGAAAGCCCCGGGCUUAACCUGGGAAUUGCGUUUGAAACUACAAGACUAGAGUGCAGCAGAUGGGAGUGGAAUUCCAUGUGUAGCAGUGAAAUGCGUAGAGAUGUGGAAGAACACCGAUGGCGAAGGCAGCUCCCUGGGUUGACGCUGACGCUCAUGCACGAAAGCGUGGGGAGCAAACA
RNAcentral lists this ribosomal RNA (426 nucleotides) under uncultured bacterium. RNAcentral's name for it is "bacterial SSU rRNA". It matches the Rfam family "Bacterial small subunit ribosomal RNA", at positions 356 to 774 of the family's 1533-position model. The record is from RNAcentral.